UGAAAACUAUACAAGAAGGGUUGAUGUACUCCCUAUGACAUCCAUCAGCGAGGGGAUAUCUAACCCUAAAAAUGCUGGUGGGGUUGAGAAUAAAGAGGGCAUUGAAUCCGAUGCCAGUCCAAUUUGGAAGCCCAGUGCCGAUGGUUCAAAAAUUGUAUUAUUUUCUAAACCAAAGCCAAUUCCAAUUGAAUUAGAAUAUGAAGGUUCAGAAGGUAAAGGUUCAGGCGAAGAUGCCGAAGAGGAUCCAUGGUUCAGGGUAUACUUACCUCUAACUUAAAUGCAUAAUGUGGACCUAGCAAUAAAAGAUGGGUUGGAGUUUACAGAACUCCUACACAGAAGACCUG
Molecule: long non-coding RNA, 344 nt
Filed under: Gossypium barbadense (sea-island cotton)
Lineage: Eukaryota; Viridiplantae; Streptophyta; Magnoliopsida; Malvales; Malvaceae
Description: long non-coding RNA (GBAR_LNC005124)
Source: RNAcentral